Perca fluviatilis (European perch) is the source of this 321-nucleotide long non-coding RNA. RefSeq lists it as uncharacterized. The record is from RefSeq and is a predicted model, not a curated record. Lineage: Eukaryota; Metazoa; Chordata; Actinopteri; Perciformes; Percidae. The transcript has 2 exons.
AAACUGAGGCUGCCCUAGCAUCACCAGAAGGGAGAGAUGAGGAGGAGAGGGAAAGCAAAAGACAAGCAUGGAGACAGAGGCCACUGGAACACUGGCCGAAAUGGAUGUGGAACUGUGCUGUUCAAUUUUUUUUGUUGAGAUGAAGAAGGUGAAUCAGCGUCAGUCUGCUUGCAGGAGAAUAUUCUGUGAGGAACUUUGCCCGCAACGUGCAAAGUCUUGAAGCAACACCGUCAUCGCCAGCUGAGUCUGAUCGCCGCUUCAUGUUGAACAUACUUUUAUACAGCAUAAAGUCAUGUUUGAAUAAAGGUUAUAAUAAAGAUA